Non-coding RNA from Pelobates cultripes (western spadefoot toad), 211 nucleotides. The record is from the annotation of a GenBank genome assembly. Lineage: Eukaryota; Metazoa; Chordata; Amphibia; Anura; Pelobatidae.
CGGUAUCAUGCAGAAAUAUGUGAAGAUGUGCCUCCUGCAGAACCAGACCCAGAAGCUCCACAUGAUUGCUUUGAACAGAUGAAGAUGGAAACUACCCAUCUUCCCACAGUGCAUGAAACUGCCGUGCCAAACCCUGAUUACACACUGUUUGUGGAUGGUUCCGGAUUCGCAGACAAACAGGGUCAAUACCAUACCGGGUAUGCAGUCACCA